CGGCGGACGGGUGAGUAACACGUGGGCAACCUGCCUAUGAGACUGGGAUAACUCCGGGAAACCGGGGCUAAUACCGGAUAAUUCUUUUCUACACAUGUAGAAAAGCUGAAAGAUGGUUUCGGCUAUCACUCAUAGAUGGGCCCGCGGCGCAUUAGCUAGUUGGUGAGGUAACGGCUCACCAAGGCGACGAUGCGUAGCCGACCUGAGAGGGUGAUCGGCCACACUGGGACUGAGACACGGCCCAGACUCCUACGGGAGGCAGCAGUAGGGAAUCUUCCGCAAUGGACGAAAGUCUGACGGAGCAACGCCGCGUGAGUGAUGAAGGUUUUCGGAUCGUAAAA
RNAcentral lists this ribosomal RNA (341 nucleotides) under bacterium N0096. RNAcentral's name for it is "bacterial SSU rRNA". It matches the Rfam family "Bacterial small subunit ribosomal RNA", at positions 96 to 430 of the family's 1533-position model. The record is from RNAcentral.